This 393-nucleotide ribosomal RNA is filed under the name uncultured bacterium. RNAcentral's name for it is "partial 16S ribosomal RNA". It matches the Rfam family "Bacterial small subunit ribosomal RNA", at positions 523 to 918 of the family's 1533-position model. The record is from RNAcentral.
AUACGUAGGGGGCGAGCGUUGUCCGGAAUGAUUGGGCGUAAAGGGCGCGUAGGCGGCCCGGUAAGUCUGGAGUGAAAGUCCUGUUUUUAAGAUGGGAAUUGCUUUGGAUACUGUCGGGCUUGAGUGCAGGAGAGGUAAGUGGAAUUCCCAGUGUAGCGGUGAAAUGCAUAGAGAUCACACAGAACACCGAUUGCGAAGGCAUCUCACGAACGGAUGAUUAACGCUGAGGCACGAAAGCGUGGGGAUCAAACAGGAUUAGAUACCCUGGUAGUCCACGCAGUAAACGAUGAUAACUAACCGCUGGUGCGCAAGUAUCAGUGGCCAAGCGAAAGCGAUAAGUUAUCCACCUGGGGAGUACGACCGCAAGGUUGAAACUCAAAUGAAUUGGCGGGG